GUUGUCCGUUAUGCCACCAAAUCCUACUUCCUAAGUAUCUCUUGAAUUUGCCUGCUUCUGUCAUCUUCCUGUUGCUAUUGUCUGAGCCACUUGGAAUAGAGCUGCAGUCUUGUAGCUGCUCUUUUAGCUUCUGUCUUGUGGUAUCCGUUUUCCACACAAAAUCCAAAGUAUUUUUUCUGGCAUUCAAAUCUGUUCAUUUGAAGUAUUCAAACUCUUAAAAUCCAUUCAGUGGUUUUCCCAUCACCUUCUGGAUGAAUACAAAUUUCUUAACAUGACUGACAACCUUACUUUGCAAAGUGUGGUCAACAGCAGCCUUGCUAUCACCCAGGCACUUGAAAGAAGUGCAGACUAUCAGGUCCCAGCCCACACCUGCUCUUAGUAUGUGUUCUAACAAAAUGCCCAGGCAAGUCCUAAAGUUAGAGAAACACAAUUGAGGAGACUAUUUUUUGAACUCUCCUUCUGCCCUUCAACUCCCUGACCUUUUAUCUCGAAGUCCCCUCCUUCAAGCUCGUACUGUCCCAGCAACUUGGGGCGUGAGAACACCGCGCUGUGUCUUGCCUCUGAGCCUUCACAGUUGCUCCUUCUCUGCCUACAGUGCUCUUUCUAUUCCCCCAGCGCUGUUGACCUCGCUGACUUACUGAUCUUUCAGAUCCCUAUUUAGUUAUCUCCUCCUUCAUGAAACCUUUCUGAGUCCUUUCUAAGAGUAGGGGAGCUACCCCUUCUGUAUGCUACCCUCCAGCCUGCACUUAGGCCCACUGUGAUGCUUCAUAUUUCAGACGUCUUUUUUAUAGACAAAAUCUCACACAUUAGGCUGUACGCUCUUUUAAGGACAGGGACUCUGCUUUGGUCUCUACUACAGUUAUCUCUUGAACAACAUGGUUUGAAUUACCCAGGUCCACUUAGAUGUCAAUCUUUUUCAGUAGUCGGUACUACAAGACCACACAAUCCACAGUUUGUUGAAUCUGCAGUUACCGAGGAAGCUAGAAAUGGAGGAACCACAGGUGAAGGUACAAGUAAGAAGCUGGCGAAACAUAGAGCUGCAGAGGCUGCCAUAAACAUUUUGAAAGCCAAUGCAAGUAUUUGCUUUGCAGUUCCUGAUCCCUUAAUGCCUGACCCUUCCAAGCAACCAAAGAACCAGCUUAAUCCUAUUGGCUCAUUACAGGAAUUGGCUAUUCAUCAUGGCUGGAGACUUCCUGAAUAUACCCUUUCCCAGGAGGGAGGACCUGCUCAUAAGAGGGAAUAUACCACAAUUUGCAGGCUUGAGUCAUUCAUGGAAACUGGAAAGGGGGCAUCAAAGAAACAAGCCAAGAGAAAUGCUGCUGAGAAAUUUCUUGCCAAAUUCAGUAAUAUUUCUCCAGAGAACCACAUUUCUUUGACAAAUAUGGUAGGGCAUUCUUUAGGUUGUACUUGGCAUUCCUUAAGGAAUUCUCCUGGUGAAAAGAUCAACUUACUGAAAAGAAGCCUCCUCAGCAUUCCAAAUACAGAUUACAUCCAGCUGCUUAGUGAAAUUGCGAAGGAACAAGGUUUUAAUAUAACAUAUUUGGAUAUAGAUGGUGGUCUGCAAAGAAUCCCCUAAAGAAGCCUCCGCCACUCUCUCUUCCUGAGUCUGCUCCCUACAGAGCCCGACCUGAGAUACACAGUUAGAGUUCAAGGUGAAAAUAUAAUAAUAGGAAAAUAAGAUCAAUCAUGUUAUUUAUAUGUAAAAUUACAACUCUUACCUUUCUCUUUGGAUUAUAUAUCUUUUGCUUUUCAUUACUUUUUUUUUUUUUUUGACAGAUUUGUGUGGUUGGUGUAUGUAUUACUUCAGUGGCAGGGCAUACCUGAAUUUUGAAAAGACUUUUCUUUACAUCCAAAAGGAUAUAUAGGAAAUGAAACAGAAAUGAUCCUAAUUGGAGAACAAAGCCUACUGUGAGUAAGGCUACAUCUAGAUUAACACUGCACUUAAAGAGUCCAAGGACAGUUAAAAAUCAUGGAAGAGUCCAUAUGAGUUCUAAAAAGUAGAGAGAGACACCAACUCUGGAAGCUUGUUCGAACUUAUCAAUUCUAACCAUCUAUGGAGAACAAUGUGCAAUGAAUAUCUGGCAGCUCCUAUUCUGAGAGGUCAAAGUUGAUGGAUGCGUGUGCUGGUGGGCUUGUCUGAUCUGAGGCAAGAGGGGGCGCCAUGGAAAGAAGACCAGAAUAAGCUAGUUCUCCUUCCUGUGCUAAUCAGAGUGCAUGGACAACUGCAAUGCGUUUGUUGCAUUUUUUGCUAGUAGAUACAACUGAAAUUUGGAAAAAAUUUACAUGUAUCUCAGGGGGGGAAAAAUGGCAUAAGACAGAGGCAAACUAUUUUCAAGUACACAGGCUAAAACCAAAGAUAGGUGUGGACUUAAUGACACUCCAUUAUAAAUUUUUUUAUGAGAUGAAAAGUUAGAGCACUUGUAGGUGGUAGAUUAAACAUUAAGAAUUAGUAGAUUCAGUGCUAGAUGCUAUUACAGAUAUUUGUGUUCCUAUUCAUGAGCUUGUACCUUCAUUCCACUGCAAUCUCCUUCAUGGCCAGAUGGGUGUGUUACUGUACAGUAUUUAUUGAUUUGAAAUUCAGAAAUUGAUAGGAGUAUCACCUAUGCCUGAUUGCUUGGAGUGUGUUAAUUUUUGCUCUAUAUCUCUAAUGAAUAAAGAUUGAUUUCAAUGGCAAAAGAAAGCCUCUGCUCAGAUGCUCAGCCACGUCUGAC
Non-coding RNA from Odocoileus virginianus texanus, 2711 nucleotides. Lineage: Eukaryota; Metazoa; Chordata; Mammalia; Artiodactyla; Cervidae. The record is from RefSeq and is a predicted model, not a curated record.